Molecule: non-coding RNA, 117 nt
Filed under: Gorilla gorilla gorilla (western lowland gorilla)
Lineage: Eukaryota; Metazoa; Chordata; Mammalia; Primates; Hominidae
Source: Rfam by way of RNAcentral
GCCGGGCGUGGUGGCUCAUGCCUGUAAUCCCAGCACUUUGGGAGGCCGAGGCGGGUGGAUUACCUGAGGUCAGGAGUUCGAGACCAGCCUGGCCAACAUGGUAAAACCCUGUCUCUA